Molecule: ribosomal RNA, 492 nt
Filed under: uncultured bacterium
Lineage: Bacteria
Description: partial 16S ribosomal RNA
Rfam family: Bacterial small subunit ribosomal RNA
Source: RNAcentral
AGUGAACGCUGGCGGUAGGCCUAACACAUGCAAGUCGAACGGCAGCACAGUAAGAGCUUGCUCUUACGGGUGGCGAGUGGCGGACGGGUGAGGAAUACAUCGGAAUCUACUUUUUCGUGGGGGUUAACGUAGGGAAACUUACGCUAAUACCGCAUACGACCUACGGGUGAAAGCAGGGGAACUUCGGACCUUGCGCGAUUGAAUGAGCCGAUGUCGGAUUAGAUAGUUGGCGGGGUAAAGGCCCACCAAGGCGACGAUCCGUAGCUGGUCUGAGAGGAUGAUCAGCCACACUGGAACGGAGACACGGUCCAGACUCCUACGGGAGGCAGCAGUGGGGAAUAUUGGACAAUGGGGGCAAGCCUGAUCCAGCCAUACCGCGUGGGUGAAGAAGGCCUUCGGGUUGUAAAGCCCUUUUGUUGGGAAAGAAAAGCAGCAGGUUAAUACCCCGCUGUUCUGACGGUACCCAAAGAAUAAGCACCGGCUAACUUCGUG